This 1241-nucleotide ribosomal RNA is filed under the name metagenome. Its description in RNAcentral is "bacterial LSU rRNA". It matches the Rfam family "Bacterial large subunit ribosomal RNA", at positions 1564 to 2816 of the family's 2925-position model. The record is from RNAcentral.
UGAGUACGAGAUGCUACGGCGUCGAAGCAGUCUAGGUCAUACUUCCAAGAAAAGCUUGCACUGUCAUAAACAAAGAAUGCCUGUACCAUAACCGACACAGGUGGGUAGGUAGAGUAUACUAAGGGGCGCGAGAUAACUCUCUCUAAGGAACUCGGCAAAAUGACUCCGUAACUUCGGGAGAAGGAGUGCCUUAUUUUUAAGGUUGCAAUAACAAGAUCCAAGCAACUGUUUACCAAAAACACAGGUCUCCGCUAAGUCGUAAGACGAUGUAUGGGGGCUGACGCCUGCCCAGUGCCAGAAGGUUAAAGAAGUUGGUUAGCAUUUGCGAAGCUGAUAACUGAAGCCCUGGUGAACGGCGGCCGUAACUAUAACGGUCCUAAGGUAGCGAAAUUCCUUGUCGGGUAAGUUCCGACCCGCACGAAAGGCGUAAUGAUUUGGAUACUGUCUCGGAGAGGGGCUCGGUAAAAUAGACUUGUCUGUGAAGAUGCGGACUACCUGCACCUGGACAGAAAGACCCUAUGAAGCUUUACUGUAACUUGAGAUUGAAAUUGGACUUUAUUUGCGCAGUAUAGGUGGGAGGCGUUGAGAAUAAUCUUGCGGGAUUAUCGGAGCCAUCAGUGAGAUACCACUCUUGUAAUGUUAGAUUUCUAACUUUGUAUCAUUAUCUGGUCAAAGAACAGUUUCAGGCGGGCAGUUUGACUGGGGCGGUCGCCUCCCAAAGGGUAACGGAGGCGCACAAAGGUUUCCUCUGAACGGGUAGAAAUCGUAUCUAGAGUGUAAAGGCAUAAGGAAGCUUGACUGUGAGACCUACAAGUCGAGCAGGGACGAAAGUCGGUCUUAGUGAUCUGACGGUGCUGAGUGGAAAGGCCGUCACUCAACGGAUAAAAGUUACUCUAGGAUAACAGGCUAUCUCCCCCAAGAGUUCACAUCGACGGGGAGGUUUGGCACCUCGAUGUCGGCUCAUCGCAUCCUGGGGCGGUAGUACGUCCCAAGGGUUGGGCUGUUCGCCCAUGAAAGCGGUACGCGAGCUGGGUUCAGAACGUCGUGAGACAGUUCGGUCCAUAUCCGGUGUAGGCGUUAGAAUAUUGAAAGGAGCCUUCUCUAGUACGAGAGGACCGAGAAGGACAUACCUCUGGUGUGCCAGUUAUCGUGCCAACGGUAAACGCUGGGUAGCUAUGUAUGGAGUGGAUAACCGCUGAAAGCAUCUAAGUGGGAAGCCCACCUUAAGAUAAGUAUUCUCA